UUAACCUCGGAUCAGGAGCCCGCUGAACUUAA
This 32-nucleotide ribosomal RNA is filed under the name Dirina ceratoniae. Its description in RNAcentral is "partial large subunit ribosomal RNA". Lineage: Eukaryota; Fungi; Ascomycota; Arthoniomycetes; Arthoniales; Roccellaceae. The record is from RNAcentral.